GAAAACUCCGGUGGUAUGCGAUGGGUCCGCGUCUGAUUAGGCAGUUGGCGGGGUAACGGCCCACCAAACCGACGAUCAGUAGCCGGCCUGAGAGGGCGGACGGCCACACUGGGACUGAGACACGGCCCAGACUCCUGCGGGAGGCAGCAGUGGGGAAUAUUGCACAAUGGGGGAAACCCUGAUGCAGCGACGCCGCGUGAAGGAAGAAGUAUCUCGGUAUGUAAACUUCUAUCAGCAGGGAAGAAAACAGACGGUACCUGACUAAGAAGCCCCGGCUAACUACGUGCCAGCAGCCGCGGUAAUACGUAGGGGGCAAGCGUUAUCCGGAUUUACUGGGUGUAAAGGGGGCGCAGACGGCAUGGCAAGCCCGGUGUGAAAGGCAGGGGCAUAACCCCUGGACUGCACUGGGAACUGUCAGGCUGGAGUGCCGGAGGGGUAAGCGGAAUUCCUGGUGUAGCGGUGAAAUGCGUAGAUAUCAGGAGGAACACCGGCGGCGAAGGCGGCUUACUGGACGGCAACUGACGUUGAGGCCCGAAAGCGUGGGGAGCGAACAGGAUUAGAUACCCUGGUAGUCCACGCCGUAAACGAUAUAUGCCAGGUGUCGG
Molecule: ribosomal RNA, 605 nt
Filed under: uncultured bacterium
Lineage: Bacteria
Description: bacterial SSU rRNA
Rfam family: Bacterial small subunit ribosomal RNA
Source: RNAcentral